UGGGGAAUAUUGCACAAUGGGCGCAAGCCUGAUGCAGCCAUGCCGCGUGUAUGAAGAAGGCCUUCGGGUUGUAAAGUACUUUCAGCGGGGAGGAAGGUGUUGUGGUUAAUAACCACAGCAAUUGACGUUACCCGCAGAAGAAGCACCGGAUAACUCCGUGCCAGCAGCCGCGGUAAUAAGGAGGGAGCAAGCGUUAAUCGGAAUUACUGGGCGUAAAGCGCACGCAGGCGGUCUGUCAAGUCGGAUGUGAAAUCCCCGGGCUCAACCUGGGAACUGCAUCCGAAACUGGCAGGCUUGAGUCUUGUAGAGGGGGGUAGAAUUCCAGGUGUAGCGGUGAAAUGCGUAGAGAUCUGGAGGAAUACCGGUGGCGAAGGCGGCCCCCUGGACAAAGACUGACGCUCAGGUGCGAAAGCGUGGGGAGCAAACA
Molecule: ribosomal RNA, 427 nt
Filed under: uncultured bacterium
Lineage: Bacteria
Description: partial 16S ribosomal RNA
Rfam family: Bacterial small subunit ribosomal RNA
Source: RNAcentral